RNAcentral lists this small RNA (286 nucleotides) under Drosophila willistoni. RNAcentral's name for it is "GK26911". Lineage: Eukaryota; Metazoa; Arthropoda; Insecta; Diptera; Drosophilidae. The record is from RNAcentral.
GUGCAAAAGCAAAACGAAGAGAACGCAGCGCAACCGAGAAAACCAAAUCGAAGCAGCACUGCAAGCGAGAAAUAUUUUUAUUUUCUAAAAGUUUAUUGCCAAUUUUAAGGGAUUUGCGUGCAUCAGAGCAAGGAGUCAAGUGCCGGUUAGCCGAACAGCAAGCGAAAAGACUGACUACAAAGUAAGCAGCAGCAGCAUCAGCAGCAGCGAAAGGAAUUUCACCCAAGGCUAACUUCAGGAAAAAAAACUUCACUUCACUCAAAUUUCGCAACAUCAGCAACAACAA